UUGCAUUUGGGGCCAGUGAGGAUGAGAACCUCCGGGGGCAGGAGGUUCGACUCGAGCGAAGCGAGAGAACGUUGCGUCAGCAACGGCCCGCAGGGCGAGCCACGAAGUGGUGAGUCAUCCUCUAUCACCGACCA
This 134-nucleotide small RNA is filed under the name Klebsiella pneumoniae. RNAcentral's name for it is "RtT sRNA". It matches the Rfam family "RtT RNA". Rfam says of the family: This family represents a bacterial cis-regulatory element known as RtT RNA. Lineage: Bacteria; Pseudomonadati; Pseudomonadota; Gammaproteobacteria; Enterobacterales; Enterobacteriaceae. The record is from RNAcentral. RNAcentral also lists the same sequence under 1 other name.